GAUGAACGCUGGCGGCGUGCUUAACACAUGCAAGUCGAACGAAGACCUUUCUUUGAUUUCCUUCGGGACUGAUUAUUUUGUGUCUGAGUGGCGGACGGGUGAGUACCUCGUGGGUAACGUGCCGUGUACUGGGGGAUUACAGCUGGAAACGUCUGCUUAUAAGGCAUAAGCGCCCAGCAUCGCAUGAUGUAGUGUGAAAAAGUCCGGUGGUAUAAGAUGGAGCCGCGUCGGCUUAGCUAGUGGGUGAGGUAACGGCCUACCAAGGCGACGACCCACAGCCGAGCUGUGAGGCUGACCGGACACAUUUGGGCUGAGCCACGGCGCAAACUCCUACGGGAGGCAGCAGUGGGGAAUAUUGCACAAUGGGCGAAAGCCUGAUGCAGCGACGCUUCGUGAGCGAUGAAGUACUGCGGUAUGUAAAUCUCUAUAAGCAGUGAAGAUAAUGACGGUACCUGAAGAAGAAGCACCGGCUAAAUACGUG
This 481-nucleotide ribosomal RNA is filed under the name uncultured bacterium. RNAcentral describes it as "partial 16S ribosomal RNA". It matches the Rfam family "Bacterial small subunit ribosomal RNA", at positions 28 to 507 of the family's 1533-position model. The record is from RNAcentral.